AGCAGCCGCGGUAAUUCCAGCUCCAAUAGCGUAUAUUAAAGUUGUUGCAGUUAAAAAGCUCGUAGUUGAAUUUCGGGGUUAGUAGGUUGGUCAUGCCUCUGGUAUGUACUGGUCUCACUGAUUCCUCCUUCCUGAUGAGCCGUAAUGCCAUUAAUUUGGUGUUGCGGGGAAUUUGGACUGUUACUUUGAAAAAUUAGAGUGUUUAAAGCAGGCUAACGCUUGAAUAUAUUAGCAUGGAAUAAUGAAAUAGGACGUUCGAUCUUAUUUUGUUGGUUUCUAAGAUUGACGUGGUGAUUAAUAGGGAUAGUUGGGGGCAUUAGUAUUCAAUUGUCAGAGGUGAAAUUCUUGGAUUUAUUGAAGACUAACUACUGCGAAAGCAUUUGCCAAGGAUGUUUUCAUUAAUCAAGAACGAAAGUUAGGGGAUCGAAGACGAUCAGAUACCGUCGUAGUCUUAACCAUAAACUAUGCCGACUAGGGAUCGGAUGAUGUUAAUUUUUUAAUGUACUCA
This 508-nucleotide ribosomal RNA is filed under the name uncultured Glomeraceae. Its description in RNAcentral is "SSU rRNA". It matches the Rfam family "Eukaryotic small subunit ribosomal RNA", at positions 569 to 1082 of the family's 1831-position model. Lineage: Eukaryota; Fungi; Glomeromycota; Glomeromycetes; Glomerales; Glomeraceae. The record is from RNAcentral.